AUAUCAAUAAGCGGAGGAAAAGAAACCAACAGGGAUUGCCUCAGUAACGGCGAGUGAAGCGGCAACAGCUCAAAUUUGAAAUCUGGCCCCCUCGCAGGUGUCCGAAUUGUAAUUUGUAGAGGAUGCUUCGGCGUUGGCCCCGGCCUAAGUUCCUUGGAACAGGACGUCGCAGAGGGUGAGAAUCCCGUACGCGGCCGGUGUCCCUCGCUGUGUGAAGCUCCUUCGACGAGUCGAGUUGUUUGGGAAUGCAGCUCUAAAUGGGAGGUAAAUUUCUUCUAAAGCUAAAUACCGGCCAGAGACCGAUAGCGCACAAGUA
This 316-nucleotide ribosomal RNA is filed under the name uncultured eukaryote. Its description in RNAcentral is "partial large subunit ribosomal RNA". It matches the Rfam family "Eukaryotic large subunit ribosomal RNA", at positions 40 to 350 of the family's 3401-position model. The record is from RNAcentral.